RNAcentral lists this ribosomal RNA (511 nucleotides) under Schenkia sp. 1 BFS-2018. RNAcentral describes it as "partial 16S large subunit ribosomal RNA". The stretch from base 380 to 511 matches the Rfam family "Archaeal large subunit ribosomal RNA", at positions 2544 to 2675 of the family's 2987-position model. The record is from RNAcentral. Lineage: Eukaryota; Metazoa; Arthropoda; Insecta; Hymenoptera; Ichneumonidae.
AACAUGUCUUUUUGAAAAUAAUUUUAAGUYUAAUCUGCUCCAUGAAAAUUUUUAAAUAGCUGCAGUAUUUUGACUGUACAAAGGUAGCAUAAUCAAUAGUUUUUUAAUUAAAAGCUGGAAUGAAUGAUUUUAUGAAAUAAUUUCUGUCUCAAGUUAAAUAAUUUUAUAAUUUUUUUUUUAGUAAAAAAACUAAUAUGAUUUUAAAAGACGAGAAGACCCUAUAGAAUUUUAUAAUUUUAAAUUAAAUUAAUUUAUAAUUUAAAAUAAAAUUAUUAGGUUGGGGAAAUUAUUAAAUUUGAUUAAUUUUAAUUAAUUAUUAAACAAAAAUUAUUGAGUAUAAGAUUUUAAUUUUAAAAUAAAAGAAUUAAAUUACCUUAGGGAUAACAGCGUAAUUUUUUUAGUGAGUUCUUAUUAAUAAAAAAGUUUGCGACCUCGAUGUUGAAUUAAAAUAAAAUUUUAAUGAAGAAGUUAAAAAUUUUUGGUCUGUUCGACCAUUAAUAUUUUACGUGAU